UACGUAGGGAGCAAGCGUUGUCCGGAAUCAUUGGGCGUAAAGCGCGCGUAGGUGGCUUCGUAAGUCCGUUGUGAAAGUCAAAGGCUCAACCUUUGAAAGCCGAUGGAUACUGCGGAGCUAGAGUACGGAAGAGGCGAGUGGAAUUCCUGGUGUAGCGGUGGAAUGCGCAGAUAUCAGGAGGAACACCUAUGGCGAAGGCAGCUCUCUGGGACGGUACUGACGCUGAGACGCGAAAGCGUGGGGAGCGAACAGG
This 253-nucleotide ribosomal RNA is filed under the name uncultured bacterium. Its description in RNAcentral is "partial 16S ribosomal RNA". It matches the Rfam family "Bacterial small subunit ribosomal RNA", at positions 524 to 776 of the family's 1533-position model. The record is from RNAcentral.